RNAcentral lists this ribosomal RNA (116 nucleotides) under Rhodococcus (subgen. Prescottella) equi. The record is from RNAcentral. Lineage: Bacteria; Bacillati; Actinomycetota; Actinomycetes; Mycobacteriales; Nocardiaceae.
UACGGCGGCCAUAGCGGAGGGGAAAACGCCGGUCCAUUCCGAACCCGGAAGCUAAGCCCUCCAGCGCCGAUGGUACUGCACUCGACAGGGUGUGGGAGAGUAGGACACCGCCGAAC